This 448-nucleotide ribosomal RNA is filed under the name uncultured bacterium. Its description in RNAcentral is "bacterial SSU rRNA". It matches the Rfam family "Bacterial small subunit ribosomal RNA", at positions 329 to 793 of the family's 1533-position model. The record is from RNAcentral.
GUCCAGACUCCUACGGGAGGCAGCAGUGGGGAAUAUUGCACAAUGGGGGAAACCCUGAUGCAGCGACGCCGCGUGAGCGAUGAAGUAUUUCGGUAUGUAAAGCUCUAUCAGCAGGGAAGAAAAUGACGGUACCUGACUAAGAAGCCCCGGCUAACUACGUGCCAGCAGCCGCGGUAAUACGUAGGGGGCAAGCGUUAUCCGGAUUUACUGGGUGUAAAGGGAGCGUAGACGGCAAUGCAAGCCAGAUGUGAAAGCCCGGGGCUCAACCCCGGGACUGCAUUUGGAACUGUGUAGCUGGAGUGUCGGAGAGGCAGGCGGAAUUCCUAGUGUAGCGGUGAAAUGCGUAGAUAUUAGGAGGAACACCAGUGGCGAAGGCGGCCUGCUGGACGAUGACUGACGUUGAGGCUCGAAAGCGUGGGGAGCAAACAGGAUUAGAUACCCUGGUAUG